CACGUAGGAAUCUGCCCUAGAGUGGGGAACAACUCCGCGAAAGCGGAGCUAAUACCGCAUAAUUUUCAUACUUCCGAGUAUGAAACAAAGCAGGGGACCUUUCGGGGCCUUGCGCUUUAGGAUGAGCCUGCGUCAGAUUAGCUUGUUGGUGGGGUAAAAGCCUACCAAGGCGAUGAUCUGUAGCUGGUCUGAGAGGACGAUCAGCCACAUUGGGACUGAGACACGGCCCAA
RNAcentral lists this ribosomal RNA (231 nucleotides) under uncultured bacterium. RNAcentral describes it as "partial 16S ribosomal RNA". It matches the Rfam family "Bacterial small subunit ribosomal RNA", at positions 114 to 334 of the family's 1533-position model. The record is from RNAcentral.